GGACAUUGGCGUCUUCCACUUGUCCUUUGCUCUGCCGUCUGCCUAUCAAAAACUGGUAUUUCAUUCUCCGUCACCACAAAGCUUUCACUCAGAGUUCAGUGAAAUGGAAGGGGGAUUGAAGCCGAUGGAUGCAGAGCAACUGCGAGAGUAUGGUCACAAGAUGGUAGAUUUCAUUGCUGAUUACUACAAAAACAUUGAGAAUUUCCCCG
Molecule: unclassified non-coding RNA, 209 nt
Filed under: Hevea brasiliensis (rubber tree)
Lineage: Eukaryota; Viridiplantae; Streptophyta; Magnoliopsida; Malpighiales; Euphorbiaceae
Source: RNAcentral